CUGAUUCCUGUUUUCUUUUUCUGAGCUGAUAAGAUGGUGUAGCUGUGUCAGUGCAUUUAAAAUAGCUGGGUAAACUUCUACUUGGUUGGAUAAAGCAUUUAAAAACACAAGUUCUUGUGUGCAAGUGAACUCUAAGAAGUCCAGAUCCAGAGGCAUGCGUCCGAGAAUAUGCUCCAAACGAGAACAAAGUCUCACAUAAAGAUGAUUUAACAGUAGUUCCUAGAACAGAGAAAAACAAAGUUAUAUAAUGCAAACCACCAAUGGGAAAAAUGACUUAACCUGACUGAAAGACUAGACUGCCUCAUUAGACAUUUCUUUUAGAACAAAUUAAGAGGAGGUUACACAUACUAAACAGGAAACGGUUGAAAAAUGGGCUGUAUUUAUCUAUCAUUGCACAAUAACUCUUGAUAUAGCUGUGAAAGAAUGGUCGGUUAUGAACAGAGCAGUCUAGGGCAGUUCAUUUCAAGCUAUUCGCUCACAGUUGUAACUACUUUGCACAGUUUAAAACCUUUCAAGAUCAGGAGUAAUUUAAAAUGAAUCAAACCAGGACAUUAACUUGAGCAGAAAACACACAUAAUAAACAAAGUGUUACCUAGACUAAUUCAGUUUGCUAGGUGACCAGUUUCUUUACACUGCUCUGUAGGGUUGCCGCCCGUCCCUUAAAAUACGGAAACGUCCUUUAUUUGACAAUUAAUUGUUGCGUCCCGUAUUGAAUCAAUACGGGACGCAAGUUGUUCCGUAUUUUCGUAAAUGCCCCGUACACGUCUGUCACACACUCAUCAAAACUGCAUAAUAAAUAAAAUAAAACACAGGAAAUAUUAAGGGCAGCCAAUUUCAUCUUCGUAGGACCCAUGUAGCGAGGACCCGAUGCCAGGUCCAGUGGACAGACUUCAGACGUCUCUGUGUGUCCGGUCCUGUCCGGUCCUGUCUCUGGUUGCCUGGUUACAGACGCUGCUGCACCCGCACGUUUAAAAAUGUCUACACCUGAAACUCCACCACGUCUAAAGAAGAAAAAACGUUUGCAAAUGUACAGACUGGAGUGGGAAGAGUGGAACCCCUGGCAAUGGAUACAAGGCAAACUGUGUUUUCUGUUGCUCAUGGACUGGCUGAAGUAAGGCAGCAUCAGGAGACCAACGUGUAAGAAACAUGAGAACAGAGAGAACCCAACCAGCAGGUCACAGUUUAUCAUCAUCUAAUCAUCUCCUGAAGUCGAUAUGGUCCCUCUCUAUCUCCCCACACAUCCACCAACCACUGGAACACAUCUCCAAAGUUCUGCAGGGCCAGCUCAGCUUCCCCUCAGAAGAAGUGCUGCCACCUGCCAGAUGAAGGAGCCUUUUGAGAGGCAGCUGGCAUCGUGAUUGGACUGUACUUUGGUCUGUUCCAAUCCAGCUUCAGCUCCAGAGACGGCAGGCGGGACGAGUCAACGGAGGCCGGGUGGACGAAGGCAUGCAGCUGAGUACAAUCCAGAAAACAACAGAGGAGGAGUGCAGCGGUCCAGGGCCAGAACAAGCAGAGUAUCAUGACCAAAGAACUACAGACUCUUCACAACCUGCUCAAACUCUUGGUACAGGACCUCACCACACGGGUCAAGAAGGUUUCCAUCUCAUUUCUACUCUGAAGCUCACCUUCUCCUGCUCAAACUGCUGACAAAUGUUUCUGCUGCUCUAAAGUCUGCUCUCCAGAACUUCCUAAAAACUCUCAAAGUCUCUUCUGCUGCAGGUUGCUUUGUAGAACUGUUCCAGAAAACCUCACUAAACCACAUGGAGGGGCCUCAAGAUAGUCGUCCAAAUGAAACCAUACAAAAACCAAACUAACACAACUCAAAUGCUAAAGUCUCCUGCAGCCUACCAGACAACCUCUGAGAACAGAGAAUCAGGACAGGAACUCUUACCUUCUGGACAACCAACAUUGGUUCACAAACAAGAAUACAGAAUGUGUCUGACCAAAAACCUCUAAAGACUCACAACAGCCAAGAUAAAGACCACAACUCAGCUGCACCAAAUCCACUAAUCACUGCACACAUUAGCACCAUGUGCUAACUGUGGAUAAAGAACCACAUUUACCAAGACAACUAUCCAGUACAAAGCCCUAAAACACACCAAGAAACACAUUAAAGAUGAUUUUACUGCUGGAAGCUGCAAGCCAACGCCUAAAGAAAAAACUAAAGCAACAGAGCCAAACCCAGUUCAGUGGUGAAGCAGAGGAAAUGUUUGGUUGCAGCUAAAUAAAGCAGGAAGACACUGAGCUGCUCAGGUGUUCCUAAUAACACCUAGCAGCCACCUGGACAGCCAAUAGGAACACAGCUUCCUGGAAGUCCAGAGGGCUGGGUUAGUGAAGGAAAUUUAGUUUAAAGUUGAAGCAGAAAGUUAACAAAGAAAGUUGAAAACCACCUUCUGAUACCUGAAAUCUCUGAGUUUUCACACAAAGAACACCUGAACAUGUCAAACUGGCUUCAUAGUAGAACCAUCAUUGUAAAAACGUCAUAGUAUGGUGUGUUGCUCAAAAAACAUUAGGACCCGGCUGUCAGGGGACAAACAUGUAAGAAACAUGAGAACAGAGAGAACCCAACCAGUAGGUCACAGUUUAUCAUCCCCCAGUCAUCUCCUGAAGUCCAUAUGGUGAGAGACAUCAGUAUCUGGUUGUUAAUUUACCAGAGGAUGCUUAUAAUCAUGCUGAUGUGGUGUGUACUCUACACUAUUUUAGUGACUCAAUAAAUGCCUAAGUCAACCUACCCGGCCAGCAGGCAGAUGGGUCCCCCCACAUUAGAGCCGGGUUCUGCUCGAGGUUUUUUUCCCUGUUAAAAGGGUGUUUUCAUUGCCACUGUCGCCUUUUGGCUUGCUCUGGGGGUCAGGCAUAUUGGUUCUGUAAAGCGUCUCGAGACAAUUUGACUGUAAUUGGUGCUAUAUAAAUAAAAUUGAAUUGUUUUAUUUAAAAUGCUUUUUAGUUUUUAAUAAACAUUUAACAGCAUAUAUGUAAUCAAUAAAUGGCCUUUGUCUAUCUUAAGAAAAAUUCA
Long non-coding RNA from Amphiprion ocellaris (clown anemonefish), 3013 nucleotides. RefSeq lists it as uncharacterized. NCBI's taxonomy places the organism in Eukaryota, Metazoa, Chordata, Actinopteri, Pomacentridae. The record is from RefSeq and is a predicted model, not a curated record. The transcript has 3 exons.